AUUGAACGCUGGCGGCAGGCUUAACACAUGCAAGUCGAACGAUGAAACCUAGCUUGCUAGGUGGAUUAGUGGCAGACGGGUGAGUACAACUUAGGAAUCUACCUAUUAGCGGGGGAUAGCUCGGGGAAACUCGAAUUAAUACCGCAUACACCUUACGAGGGAAAGGGGCCUGACCACUAAAUUUAAUUUAUAGUGUAUUUUAUUUACAAUAAUAUAAUUAAGUUAAAUUUAGUGGUCAGGUCUCACUAAUAGAUGAGCCUAAGCAAGAUUAGCUAGUUGGUGGGGUAAAAGCCUACCAAGGCGACGAUCUUUAGCUGGUCUGAGAGGAUGAUCAGCCACACUGGGACUGAGACACGGCCCAGACUCCUACGGGAGGCAGCAGUGGGGAAUAUUGGACAAUGGGGGCAACCCUGAUCCAGCCAUGCCGCGUGUGUGAAGAAGGCCUUUUGGUUGUAAAGCACUUUAAGCAGUGAGGAAAAGCUAUAUGCUAAUACCAUAUAGCCCUGACGUUAACUGCAGAAUAAGCACCGGCUAACUCUGUGCCAGCAGCCGCGGUAAUACAGAGGGUGCAAGCGUUAAUCGGAAUUACUGGGCGUAAAGCGAACGUAGGUGGUCAAUUAAGUCAGAUGUGAAAUCCCUGAGCUCAACUUAGGAACUGCAUCUGAUACUGAUAGACUAGAGUAGGUGAGAGGAGAGUAGAAUUCCAGGUGUAGCGGUGAAAUGCGUAGAUAUCUGGAGGAAUACCGAUGGCGAAGGCAGCUCUCUGGCAUCGUACUGACACUGAGGUUCGAAAGCGUGGGUAGCAAACGGG
This 811-nucleotide ribosomal RNA is filed under the name uncultured bacterium. Its description in RNAcentral is "bacterial SSU rRNA". It matches the Rfam family "Bacterial small subunit ribosomal RNA", at positions 28 to 776 of the family's 1533-position model. The record is from RNAcentral.